This 253-nucleotide ribosomal RNA is filed under the name uncultured bacterium. Its description in RNAcentral is "partial 16S ribosomal RNA". It matches the Rfam family "Bacterial small subunit ribosomal RNA", at positions 524 to 776 of the family's 1533-position model. The record is from RNAcentral.
UACAGAGGGUGCAAGCGUUAAUCGGAAUUACUGGGCGUAAAGGGCUCGUAGGUGGUUAUAUAAGUUGGACGUGAAAGCCCUGGGCUCAACCUAGGAAUAGCGACCAAUACUGUGUAGCUAGAGUACAGUAGAGGGUAUAGGAAUUUCCGGUGUAGCGGUGAAAUGCGUAGAUAUCGGAAGGAACAUCAGUGGCGAAGGCGUAUACCUGGACUGAAACUGACACUGAGGAGCGAAAGCGUGGGGAUCAAACAGG